Molecule: non-coding RNA, 805 nt
Organism: Nicotiana tabacum (common tobacco)
Lineage: Eukaryota; Viridiplantae; Streptophyta; Magnoliopsida; Solanales; Solanaceae
Source: RefSeq, a predicted model, not a curated record
CUGGCACAAUUUCUGGUACUAUUUUAUUUAUUUAUUCUAGAGCACAAAGCCUUGAAGUGGACAAGCCUCAAUAGGAAAAAUACAUAAGAUGCACCCUGUAUUUGUUCAAGAAAAUCGGUUUCACGCUCAACCUUUACGGCUGUCCUAAUACCCCCUAUCCUUAUUCAAAGUGAAUUUAAUACCACUGAAAUAUAAUACCACUUUCAGUACAUCACACGCGCAUGCCACAUCAGCACCACGUCAGCAUCAUCUGUUUUUAACUCUCUUUUUUCCCUUUUUAUUCACACAUUUUUUUUCUUCUUCCACGCCCACCACCAAACCUCCAUUACCACCAAUUUUACUAGUCACCAACAAAUCUGCACCACCGAUUUCACUGCCAAAUUCAUCAUCAUCAAUUCCAUCAACCAUCACCAAACUCAUUAAAUUGUAUAUUAAAUUGACGAAUUUCUGUUGCAAGUUAACGAUAUGCUCAAUAUCGAUUUCAAAAGAACCUAUUUCCAUCAAACAUCAUAAACCCAUUAAACUGUAUGUCAAAUUGACGCACUAGAUGAUUCUUUAAAGAGAACAAUAUUUUGAGGCGAGUCAAAAUAAAAAAAAAUAGGUAAUUGAAGAAAAAAAUCUGGAUUAUAGGUGUGAAAAUGGAGAAGAAGAGAUUGGACGUUAAGAAGGAGAAGAAGGGUUUGGGGAUUUGAAAGAUGAAGAUGGGGAAGGAGAUUCAAUAAAUCUGUCUUUUUGUAUAAAAAAGAAGAAAAAUCAAAAUUUCUGAUUUAAUUUUAGUAAUACGCACCUAUUUUUAUUUAUUCUU